This 479-nucleotide ribosomal RNA is filed under the name uncultured bacterium. RNAcentral's name for it is "bacterial SSU rRNA". It matches the Rfam family "Bacterial small subunit ribosomal RNA", at positions 30 to 528 of the family's 1533-position model. The record is from RNAcentral.
AUUGAACGCUGGCGGCAUGCCUUACACAUGCAAGUCGAACGGUAACAGGUCUUCGGAUGCUGACGAGUGGCGAACGGGUGAGUAAUAUAUCGGAACGUGCCCAGUCGUGGGGGAUAACGCAGCGAAAGCUGUGCUAAUACCGCAUACGAUCUAUGGAUGAAAGCGGGGGAUCGCAAGACCUCGCGCGAUUGGAGCGGCCGAUAUCAGAUUAGGUAGUUGGUGGGGUAAAGGCCCACCAAGCCAACGAUCUGUAGCUGGUCUGAGAGGACGACCAGCCACACUGGAACUGAGACACGGUCCAGACUCCUACGGGAGGCAGCAGUGGGGAAUUUUGGACAAUGGGCGCAAGCCUGAUCCAGCAAUGCCGCGUGCAGGAUGAAGGCCUUAGGGUUGUAAAGCACUUUCGUUGGGGAUGAUAAUGACCGUACCCAAAGAAGAAGCCACGGCUAAAUUCGUGCCAGCAGCCGCGGUAAUCUCGU